RNAcentral lists this ribosomal RNA (484 nucleotides) under uncultured bacterium. RNAcentral's name for it is "partial 16S ribosomal RNA". It matches the Rfam family "Bacterial small subunit ribosomal RNA", at positions 30 to 507 of the family's 1533-position model. The record is from RNAcentral.
AUUGAACGCUGGCGGCAGGCCUAACACAUGCAAGUCGAGCGGAUGAAGGGAGCUUGCUCCUGGAUUCAGCGGCGGACGGGUGUGUAAUGCCUAGGAAUCUGCCUGGCAGUGGGGGAUAACGUCCUGAAACGGGCGCUAAUACCGCCUACGUCCUGCGGGUGCAAGUGGGGGAUCUUCGGACCUCACGCUCUCAGAUGAGCCUAGGUCGGAUUAGCUAGUUGGUGGGGUAAAGGCCUACCUAGGCGACGAUCCGUAACUGGUCUGAGGGGAUGAUCAGUCACACGGGAGGUGAGACAGGGUCCAGACUCCUACGGGAGGCAGCAGUGGGGAAUGUUAGACAGUGGGCGAAAGCCUGAUACAACCAGGGCGAGUGUGUGAAGAAGGUCUUCGGAUUGUGAAGCAGGUUAAGUUGGGAGGAAGGGCAGUAAGUUAAUACCUUGCUGUUUUGACGUUACCAACAGAAUAAGCACCGGCUAACUUCGUG